Long non-coding RNA from Equus caballus (horse), 2128 nucleotides. Lineage: Eukaryota; Metazoa; Chordata; Mammalia; Perissodactyla; Equidae. The record is from Ensembl.
CUGAGUCACCGUCUGAGCAGCGUUUUCGGGAGCAAUCUCCCGAACAGGAAGAGAGGCCUUCUCUAGAAGCAGUAGGAAGGGGCCCGGAGGCUGUGGGGAAACCACAAGCAGUCCCAGGGCUGGGAGCAGAGCCCCCAGGCUCACACACCUUGACCGCUUCCCAGGGGGAAUGAGCAGGACAAGUUCAAAGACAUCAGAAGUCGGUCUCUGAGACGGACAGGAAAACGAUGCUUUCUACUUAGCCGCCAGAAGAGUUUAAAGUCUGAGGCUUCAUAGACAUUCAAAGAACCCAGAGCAAUCCUGAGAGGACCUCAGAGAGAACACCUGCUUGCCUUCUGAGUCCUCCUGACGAAGAGGAGAAUGUGCCCUGUCGACGAAAAUAAUCCAUAACCAAUCUAUAAACAAGAAUUUGGGUGAGUUUAUUCUGAGCUAAAAUGUGAGGACCAUGGCCUGGGGCCUUUCUUCCCGAAGGAAGGAAGGGCACCAAAGAAGUGGGGGGUACAGAGUGGUUAUAUACCCUGAAAGGGGAUGUUUCACAUAGGAUUGAAAUGUCCCUUUUACAACAGUCAACUUCGAGACUGCUCUGUCAGCACAGCGAUUGAUGGACGCAGCAGGUAGCAGGUCUGCUGUCUUGGUGAACACAGCAGGGUGGCAGGUCUGUUGUCUCAAGCUGGGUGGUCACAGGUGAGCACAGCAAUCAGUUCCUAACCUAGGGAGAGAUGCUUAUCCUUAAGGAAAUGCCAAUGUGAGGGGAAGUUGCACCUUUAUCUUAAGGCAUUUGUUCUUGCCAUAGCAAAUGUUUAAAGCAGAUAUACAAUGUGUGCUCAACGGCCAUGUCAGGCCCUUUUGGAAGAACAAAGUCACGCCGAAUUGGGUUUACACCAGAUGGCUUCCUCAUGUGCUCUAGCAUAUCCUAUUGCUUGCCCUUUCUGUUUGUCACCCACGAGGAAGAGGGUGAGGAGGAGCGCUGACAGGACGUCUCAGGACCUGGUGAACCCCACAAGAACUGUAACAAAAACUUGACUUCAGCAACUGAGCCAGAAACAAAAGAGCAAAAAUCUAGGACCAGGAAACUGUCGGAGAUGAGGUUAUCGAUCUCUGAGCCAGCAUCUGAGGUCUGUCAGCCCAGUGCUUCUGAGAGCUAUUGCAGAGGUCGCUCAGGAAGACGGGAGGAACUGUGCCCAAAGGGCCUGGAGGGACAUCCCAGCCACACGCGCAGUUCCUCUGAGUCUCCGGCGAGAACGUGAAGCCCACAGCCGAGCCCGGGUCCGCUCCUUUGGCGCAUAAGUUAUGGAUUCCAUAUCAGCAAUCAACAGCUGUCUAAUAAGAAUUUAUCAAGCAUAUAAAACCCUACAUUACUCGGCAGUGGAACCAAGUAAGAAUUUAAAUGGCCAGAUGCCACCUGUACCAAUCAGAGCCUGGGAACUUUGGCGCCCACUGCCAUCGGGGGAUCUCAAAGAUUUUCAACUUUCCAAUGAUCAUUUCUCAUCUCUACUUUAUCUAAAGAACUUGAAACUUGAAGAUGAGUAUAAAGCUGAUAUCUAACAUGCAAAACUAUGUCAGAGUAGGAUGUUCAGCUCUAGAUCCCCGUUGCCAAUGGCAUUUGUGAUAAGAACAGAUGAACCAAAUCAAAUAACGAGAGUUUCAGGAUAGCUCUUCUACGCCCCAAAUGAACAAUUAAUAUAUUACUGCUGUCUGCAAAAAUAUGAGCUAAACAAAGAAGAACAUAAAAACCAUCCCAGGCUUAUUCAGUAUGCACACACCAGUCUCUGGUGACGUCUCCAAGAAUUAAUUGAGUAUAAAAUGUUGUGCAGAAAGCGGGGUACUCUCAUGGCAGUGAAGGAGAAUGGUCUCACAAAACACACCAGUGAGCCUAGCGUCUCAUUACCCUCCCUUCCGUCCCCUUCUUCUCUGCCUCUUCCUUCCCCCGAGACAGCAAGGCACAACCCAGGGAGUUGCCAAGAUGAUUACACAGAAGGUGAAUCAUGAUUGUGCGGCCUACAGCUCCGCGAGAACUCAGGAGGGAGUCGCUCUCGGAAGACAACGACCUCGUUACUGACGUUAUGGGAGCAGCGAGCGGCACGUCUUCUCUGAAAGGCAAACUGGUAUCAUCUACUCUUCAUGGGGU